UAAUAGCGUAUAUUAAAGUUGUUGCGGUUAAAAAGCUCGUAGUUGGAUUUCUGCUGAGAACGACCGGUCCGCCCUUUGGGUGUGUAUCUGGCUCUUUCUUGGCAUCUUCUUGGUGAACGUUGCUGCACUUGACUGUGUGGAGCGCUACCCAGGACUUUUACUUUGAGGAAAUUAGAGUGUUUCAAGCAGGCAUACGCCUUGAAUACAUUAGCAUGGAAUAAUAAGAUAGGACCUCGGUUCUAUUUUGUUGGUUUCUAGAGCUGAGGUAAUGAUUAAUAGGGAUAGUUGGGGGCAUUCGUAUUUAACUGUCAGAGGUGAUAUUCUUGGAUUUGUUAAAGACGGACUACUGCGAAAGCAUUUGCCAAGGAUGUUUUCAUUGA
RNAcentral lists this ribosomal RNA (380 nucleotides) under uncultured eukaryote. RNAcentral's name for it is "partial 18S ribosomal RNA". It matches the Rfam family "Eukaryotic small subunit ribosomal RNA", at positions 592 to 976 of the family's 1831-position model. The record is from RNAcentral.